CGGAUCUUCAUUAGCUUGCUUUUGAAGAUCAGCGGCGGACGGGUGAGUAACACGUGGGCAACCUGCCUGUAAGACUGGGAUAACUUCGGGAAACCGGAGCUAAUACCGGAUAAUCCUUUCCCUCACAUGAGGGAAAGCUGAAAGACGGUUUCGGCUGUCACUUACAGAUGGGCCCGCGGCGCAUUAGCUAGUUGGUGAGGUAACGGCUCACCAAGGCAACGAUGCGUAGCCGACCUGAGAGGGUGAUCGGCCACACUGGGACUGAGACACGGCCCAGACUCCUACGGGAGGCAGCAGUAGGGAAUCUUCCGCAAUGGACGAAAGUCUGACGGAGCAACGCCGCGUGAGCGAUGAAGGCCUUCGGGUCGUAAAGCUCUGUUGUCAGGGAAGAACAAGUAUCGGAGUAACUGCCGGUACCUUGACGGUACCUGACCAGAAAGCCACGGCUAACUACGUGCCAGCAGCCGCGGUAAUACGUAGGUGGCAAGCGUUGUCCGGAAUUAUUGGGCGUAAAGCGCGCGCAGGCGGUUCCUUAAGUCUGAUGUGAAAGCCCCCGGCUCAACCGGGGAGGGUCAUUGGAAACUGGGGAACUUGAGUGCAGAAGAGGAGAGCGGAAUUCCACGUGUAGCGGUGAAAUGCGUAGAGAUGUGGAGGAACACCAGUGGCAAAUGCGGCUGUCUGGUCUGUAACUGUCGCUGACGCGCGAAAGCUUGCGGACCAAACAGGAUUAGAUACCCUGGUGUUCCACGCCGUAAACGAUGAGUGCUACGUGUUAGAGGGUUUCCGCCCUUUAGUGCUGCAGCAAACGCAUUAAGCACUCCGCCUGGGGAGUACGGCCGCAAGGCUGAAACUCAAAGGAAUUGACGGGGGCCCGCACAAGCGGUGGAGCAUGUGGUUUAAUUCGAAGCAACGCGAAGAACCUUACCAGGUCUUGACAUCCUCUGACAACCCUAGAGAUAGGGCUUUCCCCUUCGGGGGACAGAGUGACAGGUGGUGCAUGGUUGUCGUCAGCUCGUGUCGUGAGAUGUUGGGUUAAGUCCCGCAACGAGCGCAACCCUUGAUCUUAGUUGCCAGCAUUAAGUUGGGCACUCUAAGGUGA
Molecule: ribosomal RNA, 1099 nt
Filed under: Mesobacillus thioparans
Lineage: Bacteria; Bacillati; Bacillota; Bacilli; Caryophanales; Bacillaceae
Description: bacterial SSU rRNA
Rfam family: Bacterial small subunit ribosomal RNA
Source: RNAcentral